UUUUUUUUUUUUUGAGAUGGAAUCUCGCUUAGCCACCUAGGCUGGAGUGUAGUGGCACGAUCUCGGCUCACUCACUGCACUCACCAUCUCCCGGGUUCAAGUGAUUCUCCCAUCUCAGCCUCCCAAGUCGCUGAAAUUACAGGCAUCUGUCAUCAUGCCCGGCUAAUUUUUAUAUUUUAGUAGAGACAGGGUUUCACCAUGUUGGCCAGGCUGGUCUUGAACUCCUGACCUCAGGUGAUCCGCCUGCCUCGGCCUCGCAAAGUGCUGGGAUUACAGGCAUGAACCACUGUGCCUGGCCUAAUUUUUUAGUAGUAUUUUUUUAGUAGAGACAGGAUUUCACCAUGUUGGCCAGGCUGGUCUCGAACUCCUGACCUCAGGUGAUUUGCCCGCCUCGGCCUCGCAAAGUGCUGGGAUUACAGGCAUGAGCCACUGCAUCCGGCCAACAGCUUAUGUUAAUAUGGUAUGUUUGUUAUAAUUGCAAAUUUGUUUUUUGAAAUACACUGCAGAAACAUUUUGUACUGAAAAAAACCCUUUCAACAUUUUGAUUAGAAUUGUAAUAUGUUGUAAAUAGUCAUCGUUCCAUUCCCCAACAGCUGUGUAUUGAGCACUUCCCUGUGCCAGGCACUGCAGAGUCUAGGGGUGCUGUGGACCUCACUGGCGGAGGGCUUUUCUAGUGAAAGUGACCAUGUAUUAUGUAAGUCUGCCUCCCAGGUGCAUGUCUCCACUUGUUCAGAUCUGGGUUCUUUUCCCACAUCUGCUCCUGUGGGUUGAGAACUUGAAUCCCUUCACGACUGAGGGUCUCACCUUUGCUCCAAAGUGGCAGUGGCAGAGGAGGCAGGUCAGGUAGUACCGCAAGCCCACUGACAGGCACAAGGUAUCAAAAUACCAGCUGCUGUGCUGGCGUGGCCUGCAGAUUGCCAUGGUGGUUCGCAACAUUUUGAAUUAGCCAUCUGUACUGAAAAAUCAGAGAAUUUCACUUCAAAGAUCCCAAUUUUCAGCUUUUCUGGAAAAAUCAAAGAUUUUGUGGCAUGGGCUCUUCCUCCCAAACCCAGCCAAUUGGCAAGAGCCCUGUAGCAGGGGUGCCCUUUGGCCACCUCCCUGUGGACUCCCUCUCCUGGACUGAAUGUCUCCAGGAUUACUAGGCUUAUGCAGCAUUUUUUUUUUUUUUUGAGAAGAAAUCUUGCUUUGUCGGCAGCCUGGAGGGCAGUGGUGUGAUCUCGGUUUACUGCAACCUCCACCUCCUGAGUUCAAGUAAUUCUCCUGCUUCAGCCUCCCAAGUAGCUGGGAUUACAGGUACCUGCCACCACGCCCAGCUAAUUUUUGUUUUUUGUUUUGUUUUUGAGACAGAGUCUUGCUCUGUUGCCCAGGCUAGAGUGCAGCGCGAUCUCGGCUCACUGCAGUCUCCGUCUCCCGGGUUCACGCCAUUCUCCUGCCUCAGCCUCCCGAGUAGCUGGGACUACAGGCACGUGCCAUCAUGCCCGACUAAUUUUUGUAUUUUUAGUAGAGACGGGGUUUCACUGUGUUAGCCAGGAUGAUCUCGAUCUCCUGACCUCGUGAUCCACCCGCCUUGGCCUCCCAAAGUGCUGGGAUUACAGGCAUGAGCCACCUUGCCCGGCCUAAUUUUUGUAUUUUUUAGUAGAGACAGGGUUUCACCAUGUUGGCAAGGUGGUCUCGAUCUCUUGACCUCGUGAUCCACCUGCCUUGGCCUCCCAAAGUGCUGGGAUUACAGGCGUGAGCCUCUGUGCCCGGCUUAUGCAGCAUUUUUCCUUUUAGAGGAUAUCAGAGAAAAGUGAAAUCUUGAUUACACCCAGCCUGAGUCAUUCAUUCACAUGAUCACAGCGCUGGCCCCUCAUAUAUAUGCCUUUGAGUUCAUGGCUGUAGAUUCAGCUGGAUGUUACCUUCCUUCUGCUCACCUCUCAGGGCUCACCCGAGACAGCACUGCCUUCAGGAAGCCUUCCCUCAUCUCCUAGACUAGCGAGGGCAGACUUUCCUGCUGGCCAGGCCUCCCUGCAGUUAUCAGAUGUUAUUGUAAUUACUUAUUCUGGAGCUGCUCCUUGCAGGACUGAAUGCUCCAUGAGGGAAUGUCCUCUGUCUUGGUCAGAGACUCCUCCUCGCCUGUAGCUCCACGUCUGGCAUGUAAUAAGCACUUGUUAACUCUUCAGUGAAUGAAUGUAGGACUCUUGUGUCCUCCACUGUCUUCCUUGGCCCCUGAUGUGUGGUUCUCAUCCCAGGCCUGCAGAAUGAUCACAAGGCAGUGAUGAAGCAGGUGGAGGAGGCCCUGCACCAGCUGCACGCUCGCGACAAGGAGAAGCAGGCCCGGGACAUGGCCGAGGCCCACAAAGAGGCCAUGAGCCGCAAACUGGGCCAGAGUGAGAGCCAGGGCCCUCCACAGGCCUUCGCCAAAGUGAACAGCAUCAGCCCCGGCUCCCCAGCCAGCAUUGCGGGUCUGCAAGUGGAUGAUGAGAUUGUGGAGUUCGGCUCUGUGAACACCCAGAACUUCCAGUCACUGCAUAACAUUGGCAGUGUGGUGCAGCACAGUGAGGGGAAGCCCCUGAAUGUGACAGUGAUCCGCAGGGGGGAGAAACACCAGCUUAGACUUGUUCCAACACGCUGGGCAGGAAAAGGACUGCUGGGCUGUAACAUUAUUCCUCUGCAAAGAUGAUUGUCCCUGGGGAACAGUAGCAGGAAAGCAUCUUCCCUUGCCCUGGACUUGGGUCUAGGGAUUUCCAACUUGUCUUCUCUCCCUGAAGCAUAAGGAUCUGGAAGAGGCUUGUAACCUGAACUUCUGGGUGGUGGCAGUGCUGUGGCCUACCAGUGUAAUCUCCCUGGAUUAAGGCAUUCUUAAAAACUUAUGCUUGGCCUCUUUCGCAAAUUAGGCCAUGGCCCUAAAUAGGAAUUUCCUAGAUUGUGGGCAAGUGG
Molecule: small RNA, 2919 nt
Filed under: Pongo abelii (Sumatran orangutan)
Lineage: Eukaryota; Metazoa; Chordata; Mammalia; Primates; Hominidae
Description: retained intron
Source: RNAcentral